GGUCUUGUGAUGUAGUGGUUAGCAUCCUGGAUUUUGAUUCCAGAUACCCCGUUUCGAAUACGGGCAAGACCU
Transfer RNA from Aspergillus rambellii, 72 nucleotides. It matches the Rfam family "tRNA". Rfam says of the family: Transfer RNA (tRNA) molecules are approximately 80 nucleotides in length. Their secondary structure includes four short double-helical elements and three loops (D, anti-codon, and T loops). Further hydrogen bonds mediate the characteristic L-shaped molecular structure. tRNAs have two regions of fundamental functional importance: the anti-codon, which is responsible for specific mRNA codon recognition, and the 3' end, to which the tRNAs corresponding amino acid is attached (by aminoacyl-tRNA synthetases). tRNAs cope with the degeneracy of the genetic code in two manners: having more than one tRNA (with a specific anti-codon) for a particular amino acid; and 'wobble' base-pairing, i.e. permitting non-standard base-pairing at the 3rd anti-codon position. The record is from Rfam. Lineage: Eukaryota; Fungi; Ascomycota; Eurotiomycetes; Eurotiales; Aspergillaceae.